CAAAGAUUAAGCCAUGCAUGUGACUACUGGCGGGAUC
Molecule: ribosomal RNA, 37 nt
Filed under: Ebenopsis confinis
Lineage: Eukaryota; Viridiplantae; Streptophyta; Magnoliopsida; Fabales; Fabaceae
Also listed under: 1 other name
Description: partial 18S ribosomal RNA
Source: RNAcentral